GACAUGUGGCCCAGUUCCCCUUCACAGUUCACAUCCCGUGACGGGGCGUUCCCAGCCGUCUCGUUUGUCUGCAGCCAGACCCUCUUGGACUGUUGACAUAAAACGUACUUUUUUAUCAGUAUUUAAAUAUUAUUGUACAUGAAUCACUCCGUUGUCCUUAGAUAACAAUCGUCGCUGUCACUUGAGUGGAUGUAGUUCAGAAACAAAUGAGUAUGAAUGAUAAUAACACUAUCCAUCGAAAUUAUCCAUCGAUAUUUUUCUGGAAUCUUCAAGAUCAUGAAGAGUACUCUCAAAAUCGUCCGGUUUUUGCUAAUCAUGUGUGGAGUGUUUUGUGCUGAAACAGAUGAAGUGAAGUCAGUGUCAGUGAUGGAGGGAGAUUCUGUGACUCUAAACCCUGAUCUCACUCAAAUAAAGGGAAUCGUCCUGCUAUUGUGGAGGUUUGGUGAUAAAGGUUCCACCGUUGCUCAAAUUGACGAAGAUGAAAUCUUAUAUAACAAUAAUGAGAUUUUCAAAGACAGAUUGCAGCUGGAUCAGUCGGGGUCUCUCACCAUCAAUAACACUAGAACCAAACACACUGGACUCUAUGAAGCAGAAAUCAGCCACAAAACUGGAACCUUAUAUAUUAAGUUCCGUCUUACUGUCUAUGAGUCUCCAUCUGUAAUUGAUGCUGGUGAGGCUAAUAUGAAGCUCAUGUCAGUGACGGAGGGAGAUCCUGUGGAUCUUCAUGUUCCUCCACUUUACGGAGAUGAACUGAUAGUGUGGAGGUUUGGAGAUAAAGGAAAACUCAUAGCUAAACAUGAUAUAGAGGCCAAGAGCUCACAAUUAUAUGAUGAAACUGACGAGAGAUUCAGAGACAGACUGAAGCUGGAUCAGACUGGAUCUCUGAUCAUCACAAACACCAGAACCAUAAACUCUGGACUCUAUCAAGUGAAAAUCAGCAGCAACAAACAGACCUUAUACCAGAAAUACUUUGUUACUGUCAGUGUUCCAGGUCUGUGUCCGGCUGCUGUAGUAGGGAUUGUUGUUGUUGUUGUUGUUCUGCUGGUAAUAGUUGCAGCUGCUGGUGUUUUAUUUUAUUGGCGCAGGACCUCUGAACUAAAAAAUCAAAAGUCCAAGAUCUCUGAACGCCAAAAUGAAACAUUGGAGAUCUCUGACAAACUAAAGCAAAUGUCAGAGAUCUCUGAAGAACUAAAAGAAAUGAUGGAGGACUGUGAAAAAGAAUUGUCUGAGAUAUCUAAACAUCAUCAAACAUUGAGGAUCUCUGAACGACUAAAGCAAAUGUUGAAGAACUCUGAACAACUGAAGCAGAUGUCGGAGGAAUGUGAAAAAGAACUGCGCAAGAUCUCUGAACGACUGAAGCAGAUGUCUUUGACAAGUAAAAAGGAAAUCUCUGAACAGGAAAUACAUAAGUACUACUUAAGGGCUAAAUACACAUAAGAAAGAGAAACAUGCAUGAAUGAGAAAAUAAACAGUGGGACGUGCUUGAUGUUAAAAAGAGCAAUAUGCACUGAAGAACUCAAUGCAGUGCUCAACUCACAUGGACAUUUAAGAGGUGUAUAAAUAUCUUAAAAUUGGCAACGGUUAGUAAUUGUCAAAAAAUUAAGUUUAAAGUAAGCUAAGAUGCAAUGACAUACAUCCAAAGUGUGCGCACAAACAGCAAAUUUGCAUAUAUUAACCUUUUCUUUUCUCUUAACAUGCAUUUUAUGAAUAUUUAGGCUAAAGUUAUCGGUUAAACUUACCAUUUGUUGUAGGCAGUCGGAGAGUUGAAAGGAAAAGUUGAAAACAGCUUUUCUAUCAUAUCUGACUCAAAAUCAUAGACCUAGGACCCAGUUCAACUAACUAAUGAAGUUUGCAGAGGAUUACCGAGGAUUCUGAUGAUUGAGUUGCUGUCAGGUGCUGAUGCCACAAAAGAAGAGAUGGAGAAAGGUGAAAGGGAACGGUGCAUUGUUUUUAAAGACACUGCCAUAAGUCAGGAGAUUGGUGGGCCACAUGGUGCUGAUAGGAGAGUCCUAGACAUGCAU
RNA transcript from Carassius gibelio (silver crucian carp), 2021 nucleotides. RefSeq lists it as uncharacterized. The transcript is spliced from 15 exons. The record is from RefSeq and is a predicted model, not a curated record. NCBI's taxonomy places the organism in Eukaryota, Metazoa, Chordata, Actinopteri, Cypriniformes, Cyprinidae.